This 483-nucleotide ribosomal RNA is filed under the name uncultured bacterium. Its description in RNAcentral is "partial 16S ribosomal RNA". It matches the Rfam family "Bacterial small subunit ribosomal RNA", at positions 30 to 506 of the family's 1533-position model. The record is from RNAcentral.
AUUGAACGCUGGCGGCAGGCCUAACACAUGCAAGUCGAGCGGAUGAAGGGAGCUUGCUCCUGGAUUCAGCGGCGGACGGGUGAGUAAUGCCUAGGAAUCUGCCUGGUAGUGGGGGAUAACGUCCGGAAACGGGCGCUAAUACCGCAUACGUCCUGAGGGAGAAAGUGGGGGAUCUUCGGACCUCACGCUAUCAGAUGAGCCUAGGUCGGAUUAGCUAGUUGGUGGGGUAAAGGCCUACCAAGGCGACGAUCCGUAACUGGUCUGAGAGGAUGAUCAGUCACACUGGAACUGAGACACGGUCCAGACUCCUACGGGAGGCAGCAGUGGGGAAUAUUGGACAAUGGGCGAAAGCCUGAUCCAGCCAUGCCGCGUGUGUGAAGAAGGUCUUCGGAUUGUAAAGCACUUUAAGUUGGGAGGAAGGGCAGUAAGUUAAUACCUUGCUGUUUGGACGUGACCAACAGAAUAAGCACCGGCUAACUUCGU